AAACUGUUGGAGAGAAAAAGCACAAUGAAAAUUGUAAGAGUGCUUAGGAAGGAUGACAUCGGUAAUCAUUUGGACAACACUGGCACAGCCCAUCUCAGGAUGUGGAUCCGUGGGUCCCCCCACCCCAUUUAGUCAUGGAACCAGACCAGAACCAAUGACACCAGGACCGUCUCUGGGAGUGCCUUCAGGUAGUACCUGCAGCACUGAGGAACAGGAUUUGUGUCUCUUGGACUGACUGCAUCAACUCAGCUGUGAAACUGGCUUGAGCCUGGAUCAGCAAGGAUCAACUGGAACAGGACCUCGUGGGGUUUCCUUAGGGCUCACAGGUGCUUAGGAUCAGGUUCUUUGUAGUUACCAAACUCUCUUCUGGCUCCUGCUGCCCCUGUUUGGCCAACACCUGUAUGACUUGUCCCACCAAGCAGACUGGCCCUGCAUUUGUACAUUGUGCUUAAGCCCCAUAAAACUAUCAUGCGAAACAAGGAGCCACCUUUGAAACCACACCACAGAAACUCAUCAGGGCAAGUCAUUCUCAAACUCAGCUUUUCAUGUGAAGUAAACUUCUAACAGUAUUCCCAGGAAAGAGAUAAGAUGUGCUAAGAUUUGCUAUUGUAAGCCCAAUACUGCCAGAGGCCCAUGGCAACACACAGAAUCUAAGCCAAGGUAUAGAAACACACUACAGGAUCAAAACAAACAAACAAACAAACAAAAACCCUUCAGGCUUUACUAAGAAAUCUCAUUAAAAAGGUCAAAUCCAUAGAGAAGGCUAGCAAGAAUAGAUGAGGUGCUGAACCUACAGGAGUAACAUAAUAGGGAUGUUGUAACAUCCAGCCACAGAAAAAGUUCCCAGAUUUAGGCUGCAUUUAUUUCUUCUUUGCCAUAUAUUUUCCUGGUAAGCAUGAGUCCCUACUCAAACUAUCUGCAGAAAAAUAUCCUCCAAGAAUUUUGUUAGUGCUUUUUAUCUUUUGUAAUUAUAAAGGCAAGCUGCUGUAACAUGAAAAGCCUGGAAAUACUUCAAUGUUUUUUAACUGUGUAAAUGUGAUAAAAAGUCUUUCUCUGAUUUCUUUUCUUAUUUUAUCUGUGUCUUUUAUUUUUUUAUUUUUUACUUUUCGUUUCACAUUCAGCUGGGGCUCACUUCUCAGUAGAAAUGGAACCUUGAAUAUUUUGAAGAAAUUAGAUUUUGAAACAGAUAAGCUAUAAAUAAUGGACAAUUUAGUGCUGCAGCUGCACAAUAUGACUACUAUCUCUCAUUUUUAACAGCAAAAGAAGUUGCAUUGAUCUGAACACAAACAGACUUAAGCACGUGAAAAUCUGUGGUGCACAUGAAAUGGAUAUGGUUGAAUCUAUUUCAAUUAUUUCAUUGAUUAUGUGCAUUUUUUCUCCAAUGUAUGAACUUAGACAUGUAUGAGAACUUCAAAGAAAUACAUUCAUUGCCUAGCAGGAUUUUCAAAAUAAUCUAACCUUUGAAAAUCCCACUGGGAGCCUAUCUACAUUUUUAAAUGCCUAAAUAUCCUUUAAAACCCGGUCCUCUGCAACAUUAUUUUUGUCCUUGUAUAAGAAUGUGCAACACAGUGUUUGAACCUUCCUCUAAAUUUGCCUGUCUUUUCACAUUACAUACUUAAUAAAGUAAAUAUGAGG
Molecule: long non-coding RNA, 1635 nt
Filed under: Gallus gallus (chicken)
Lineage: Eukaryota; Metazoa; Chordata; Aves; Galliformes; Phasianidae
Description: lncRNA (ENSGALG00010002203.1)
Source: RNAcentral